Molecule: long non-coding RNA, 1525 nt
Organism: Macadamia integrifolia
Lineage: Eukaryota; Viridiplantae; Streptophyta; Magnoliopsida; Proteales; Proteaceae
Exons: 2
Source: RefSeq, a predicted model, not a curated record
CUUUGGAGCAACGACCAGAGAAGCUUCCCAAGGGUUACCUACCUUCAACCAGAGCAUCCUCCAUCAAAUUUUCACCAUAAAAACUACUCCAAGUUUCAUUGAAACCAUGACAUCGGAAUGUUGCCCUCACUGCAAAACCACCAUAUCGGGGCCUCCCAUAUGCCCAAUGGCUAAGAGAUAUGACCUAGAAUGGUUCACUUUAACAAAAGCCGAACGGAAUUGGCCAUUGUUUGUGGAGAAGAAAGUGGACAAUGACAAGCAUGUGGUAUGGAUGGAUUUUUCAAGGUUCAGGUUCUAAGCAUGGUUUGCUGCUUUGGGUUAGGCCUCUAUCCUAUCACUUGGUGUCAAGUUUUUCCCUUACUUGGUGAAGCACUUAUUUUGUAAUCUGAGGGCGGAGCACCUGGAGAAUGAUGGGUUCCGCAUCACAAGCUUUGUGAAGAGAGUCAACAUAUCCUUCACCAUAGCAGAGCUCGUAGAGUUUCUAGGAAUUUUCAAUGCUGCGGAGUGUGUGUAUUGUGCUGCAAGGACUGAAGUGGGUCUGUUCCUCUAUCAAUUGGAAAUGCAAGAGAUGUAUAGAGUGCUUAUGGGCAGCAAUGAGGGUUACCCACAGACACCACUCUUUUUACCUUCCCCUAGAGUUAUUUAUGAAUCAUCCAAUUCAACACUCUGUCCACCGGAGGACACUACAAUGAGGCAUCAGUCCUGUAAGCCUAUGUCACUUUAUGCUUGUGCACAGGGUUUUAGAUCUUCCUACCCUACUUGUUGAUGAGGAAUAUAGCGCAUCAAGCCGACAAUCCUGAAGAAGGAAAAUUGUUCUAUGGGAGACUGCUCACCAAGAUCUUCAUCCACUUUCGGGUGGCCUUAACUAGAGAGGUACAAGGAGGUUAGGGUUCAAUGCCCUUUGAUGGCAAGUCCCUAAGAAAUAUGAACUUGCAACCCUCAGAUGGUAGUGGUGACAAGGUAGAGGGUAUGGAGAUGGAAAAGAAUGUCGAGGACUUGCCCUAGAAUGUUAAUAUUCCACCACCACCUCCCCCUCCUAGGGAUCCAUCACCACGGAGGUAUCUACCCCCUCCACCAAUGCACUAUGGUGGUGCUUCAUUUGUACGGCCCUCAAGGGAACAUAGCUAGGCUAGUGUGUUUGACCGUCUAGACUCGAUGACGAAGAGCAUGGGAAGAGGGUUCUUGUAAUUCAAUGAGUGAUUUGGGACUCUAGAUGGAUGAAUGGCAUUCAUCGAGGAGCAGAUAAAGACGAGGACCCUCUACUUUUAGAAUUCCAUCUGAGCCAACACCACCUCCAUCUCUGAUAGAGUGAGACUACAAUUCUAACUCUUGGAUCCUCUUGCUUUCCUGUAUAGAGGUUUAUAUUUUUAGUAUCGUUGUUCUAGGUUUAUGCACUUUUGUUUAGUUUAUGUUUCUUUUUUAUCUUUGUUGUCUUUUAUUUCUUUCAGUUAUUUCCUUUCUAAUAAUUAAUGUAAAAUCUCAUAUGUACGUAGAAGAUUAUCAAUGGAAUUGGCUAUUACACCUA